RNAcentral lists this ribosomal RNA (381 nucleotides) under uncultured eukaryote. RNAcentral describes it as "SSU rRNA". It matches the Rfam family "Eukaryotic small subunit ribosomal RNA", at positions 587 to 972 of the family's 1831-position model. The record is from RNAcentral.
ACCUCCAAUAGCGUAUAUUAAAGUUGUUGCGGUUAAAAAGCUCGUAUUUGGAUUUCUGCUGAGGACGACCGGUCCGCCCUCUGGGUGAGUAUCUGGCUCGGCCUUGGCAUCUUCUUGGAGAACGCAACUGCACUUGAGUGUGUGGUGUGGUAUCCAGGACUUUCACUUUGAGGAAAUUAAAGUGUUUCAAGCAGGCGCACGCCUUGAAUACAUUAGCAUGGAAUGAUAAGAUGAGACCUUGGUUAUAUUUUGUUGGUUUCUAAAGCUGAGGUAAUGAUUAAUAGGGAUAGUUGGGGGCAUUCGUAUUUAACUGCCAGAGGUGAAAUUCUUGGAUUUGUUAAAGACAGAUUACUGCGAAAGCAUUUGGCAAGGAUGGUUUCA